UGAGUAACACGUAUCCAACCUGCCGUCUACUCUUGGACAGCCUUCUGAAAGGAAGAUUAAUACAAGAUGGCAUCAUGAGUCCGCAUGUUCACAUGAUUAAAGGUAUUCCGGUAGACGAUGGGGAUGCGUUCCAUUGAUAGUAGGCGGGGUAACGGCCCACCUAGUCUUCGAUGGAUAGGGGUUCUGAGAGGAAGGUCCCCCACAUUGGAACUGAGACACGGUCCAA
This 226-nucleotide ribosomal RNA is filed under the name uncultured bacterium. RNAcentral describes it as "partial 16S ribosomal RNA". It matches the Rfam family "Bacterial small subunit ribosomal RNA", at positions 107 to 334 of the family's 1533-position model. The record is from RNAcentral.